AGGUGACCUGCGGAGGAUCACUA
This 23-nucleotide ribosomal RNA is filed under the name Mrakia gelida. RNAcentral's name for it is "partial 18S ribosomal RNA". Lineage: Eukaryota; Fungi; Basidiomycota; Tremellomycetes; Cystofilobasidiales; Mrakiaceae. RNAcentral also lists the same sequence under 1 other name. The record is from RNAcentral.